RNAcentral lists this ribosomal RNA (514 nucleotides) under uncultured bacterium. RNAcentral describes it as "bacterial SSU rRNA". It matches the Rfam family "Bacterial small subunit ribosomal RNA", at positions 8 to 518 of the family's 1533-position model. The record is from RNAcentral.
AGAGUUUGAUUAUGGCUCAGGAUGAACGCUAGCUACAGGCUUAACACAUGCAAGUCGAGGGGUAGCAGGGUAGCAAUACCGCUGACGACCGGCGCACGGGUGAGUAACACGUAUCCAACCUUCCCAUAACUCAGGGAUAGCCUUUCGAAAGAAAGAUUAAUACCUGAUAGUACUUUUUCAAGGCAUCUUGAGAAAGUUAAAGAUUUAUUGGUUAUGGAUGGGGAUGCGUUCCAUUAGAUAGUUGGUGAGGUAACGGCUCACCAAGUCUUCGAUGGAUAGGGGUUCUGAGAGGAAGGUCCCCCACAUUGGUACUGAGACACGGACCAAACUCCUACGGGAGGCAGCAGUGAGGAAUAUUGGUCAAUGGGCGAGAGCCUGAACCAGCCAAGUAGCGUGAAGGAAUGAAGGUCCUAUGGAUUGUAAACUUCUUUUAUAGUAGAAUAAAGUGAUCCACGUGUGGAUUUUUGUAUGUAUACUAUGAAUAAGGAUCGGCUAACUCCGUGCCAGCCGCCGC